CCAAAGAAUCAGACCACAGGUAGUUUACCUGCUGACAUUCAGACACCAUGGAGCUGCGUCUCUCUGCCUGCAUCCUGCUGGUACUUUGUGCGACAUGGAGUGCAGAUGGAGGAAAUAUUUUGGUGUGGUACACCGAUGGCAGCCACUGGAUAAACAUGAAGCCUGUUCUGGAGACGCUGGUUGACAGGGACACCAGGUGACUGUACUGAUUCCGAGCUCGUCAAUGUACAUGAACACCAAUGAACCUGCCCGCUUUCACUAUGAGCCCUUCAACGCCUCUUUCUCAUUGGAGACUAUAGAGAAGUUUCUAGAAGAGUUCCUCCAAUUCUCCAUAUACGAGAUUGAUUAUAUGAACUACUGGGAGAUCUACAUCAGAUUCAUUAACAUUGCAAAGACAAACCUUCAGUACAAUAUUCAGUAUUUGGACGGUGUGGUGAAAUCAGAAGUCAUCAUGAAGAAGUUGAAAGAGGGAAAUUAUGACCUUCUCUUGGCUGACCCAAUCAACCCUGGCAGUGACUUAGUAGCAGAUAUUUUGGGGAUCCCACUCGUCUUCUCCUUGCGCUUCUCUAUAGCUAAUAACUGGGAGAGGCAUUGUGGUCAGAUGCCUGCUCCACCAUCCUUUGUUCCCGGUGCUAUGAGCAAACUCACAGAUAAGAUGGACUUCUCAGAGAGAGUGUGGAACUUUCUCUUCUACGCUCUUCAAGACAUCGUGAUUGAUCACACUUUUGGAACGUAUUAGACAGAUAUUACUCUGAUGUCAAAGGAACUCCCACCAGUGCCUGUGAGUUGAUGAGUAAAGCAGACAUCUGGUUAAUUCGAACCUACUGGGAUUUUGAAUUCCCUCGUCCUUUCCUCCCCAACUUCAAAUAUGUUGGUGGGAUCCACUGCAGACCUGCUAAACUUUUACCAGAGGAUCUGGAGGAAUUUGUGCAGAGUUCUGGAGAUGAUGGCAUUGUGAUCUUCACUUUAGGAUCCAUGAUCAACAACAUCACCAAGGAGAAGGCAAACAUGAUAGCCUCAGGCCUCGCUCAGAUCCCACAAAAGGUGCUGUGGAGGUACAAAGGAGAAAAACCAGAAGCCUUGAGUGCCAACAUUAGAAUAUAUGACUGGAUCCCUCAGAAUGACCUCCUGGGUCACCCUAAAACUAGAGCUUUCAUCACUCACGGAGGCACAAACGGGAUUUAUGAAGCCAUCUACCACGGUGUUCCCAUGGUGGGCAUACCCAUGUUUGGUGACCAGCCAGACAACAUGAUCCAUAUGAAGGAAAAAGGAACUGCAGUUAUUCUCAAUUUGAACUUCAUCACAGCUGAGGACCUUAGAGAUGCAGUCAACACAGUCAUCAAUGACAAAUCGUACAAAGAAAAUGCUAUGCGGCUGUCCAGCAUCCACCACGACAGACCAUGAGUGCUCUGGAAGAGGCAGUAUUCUGGAUCGAGUUCACACUGAGAAACAAAGGGGCCAAGCACUUGAGGGUCCAGGCCCAUGAGCUCACCUGGUACCAGUAUCACAGCCUGGAUGUCCUGGGCUUCUUCCUCACCGUAGAUCUACUCAUCAUAUUCAUCUUCAUCAAGACCUGCAGUUUCUGCCUGCACAGGUGCUGUGUCAGGAAAGGAAAGGCAAAAGGAAGGCUGAAUAACAUCUGGAACAGGUGCUGUGAGUGUUGGGCCGGGGCAAUAUUUGUUACCAGCAUGAGACUUUCUUUCAUGUAUGUUGAGUUUCCCAUCAUCAUAUUCUUUAUGUAUCACCACUAUUUCUCUUGUAGGGAGAAUGCAACGGGAGUGUUAUAUCUGCCAAAGGUGGCUAGUUUGAUGAGACCAAAGUUUAGAAUACAUUUGGGUCUACAUUCAGACACCAUGGAGCUGCGUCUCUCUGCCUGCAUCCUGCUGGUACUUUGUGCGACAUGGAGUGCAGAUGGAGGAAAUAUUUUGGUGUGGUACACCGAUGGCAGCCACUGGAUAAACAUGAAGCCUGUUCUGGAGACGCUGGUUGACAGGGGGCACCAGGUGACUGUACUGAUUCCGAGCUCGUCAAUGUACAUGAACACCAAUGAACCUGCCCGCUUUCGCUAUGAGCCCUUUAAUGCCUCUUUCUCGUUGGAGGCUUUAGAAGAGUUUCUAGAAGAGUUCCUCCAAUUCGCCUUAUACGAGUUUGAUUAUAUGAACUACUGGAGAUCUUCACCAGAAUCAUUAAAUAUGUGAACACACACCUUCAGAUUUCUAUCCAGUAUUUGGACGGUGUGGUGAAAUCAGAAGUCAUCAUGAAGAAGUUGAAAGAGGGAAAUUACGACCUUCUCUUGGCUGACCCAGUCAAAGCUGGCAGUGACUUAGUAGCAGAUAUUUUAGGGAUCCCACUCAUCUUGUCCUUUCGCUGUUUCUUAGUUAAUAACUGGGAGAGGCAUUGUGGUCAGAUGCCUGCUCCACCAUCCUUUGUUCCCGGUGCUAUGAGCAAACUCACAGAUAAGAUGGACUUCUCAGAGAGAGUGUGGAACUUUCUCUUCUACACUUUCCACGAUAUCGUGACUGAUCACACUUUUUGGAACGUAUUAGACAGAUAUUACUCUGAUGUCAAAGGAACUCCCACCAGUGCCUGUGAGUUGAUGAGUAAAGCAGACAUCUGGUUAAUUCGAACUUACUGGGAUUUUGAAUUCCCUCGUCCUUUCCUCCCCAACUUCAAAUAUGUUGGUGGGAUCCACUGCAGACCUGCUAAACCUUUACCAGAGGAUCUGGAGGAAUUUGUGCAGAGUUCUGGAGAUGAUGGCAUUGUGAUCUUCACUUUAGGAUCCAUGAUCAAAAACAUCACCAAGGAGAAGGCAAACAUGAUAGCCUCAGGCCUCGCUCAGAUCCCACAAAAGGUGCUGUGGAGGUACAGAGGAGAAAAACCAGAAACCUUGAGCGCCAACACUAGAAUAUAUGACUGGAUCCCUCAGAAUGACCUCCUGGGUCACCCUAAAACUAGAGCUUUCAUCACUCACGGAGGCACAAAUGGGAUUUAUGAAGCCAUCUACCACGGGGUUCCCAUGGUGGGCAUACCCAUGUUUGGUGACCAGCCAGACAACAUGGUCCAUAUGAAGGAAAAAGGAGCUGCAGUUAUUCUCAAUUUGAACUUCAUCACAGCUGAGGACCUUAGAGACGUAAUCAACACAGUCAUCAAUGAUAAAUCGUACAAAGAAAAUGCUAUGCGGCUGUCCAGCAUCCACCACGACAGACCCAUGAGUGCUCUGGAAGAGGCAGUAUUCUGGAUCGAGUUCACACUGAGAAACAAAGGGGCCAAGCACUUGAGGGUCCAGGCCCAUGAGCUCACCUGGUACCAGUAUCACAGCCUGGAUGUCCUGGGCUUCGUCCUCACUAUGGUUCUACUCAUCAUAUUCAUCUUCAUCAAGACCUGCAGUUUCUGCCUGCACAGGUGCUGUGUCAGGAAAGGAAAGGCAAAAAGGAAAGCUGAAUAACAUCUGAAACAGGUGCUGUGAAUGUUGGGCCGGGGCAAUAUUUGUUACCUACAUGAGACUUUCUUUCAUGUAUGUUGAGUUUCCCAUCAUUUUAUUCUUUAUGUAUCACCACUAAUUACUUUAACUGAAGACAGGUGUACCAGUUUGCAGAAGUGUACCUGAAAUUAAUCUCACUUUAAAAACCGAAUGCUGAUUGAUUGUUGAAUUUUGCUUCCCCCCCCCCGAGAAGAAAACUCACAAAAUUCAUUCUAUGCCUUUACUUGAGUAAUACUCAUGAAAAGUCACCACUUUAGGUCCUCUUGGCACUACAUGUGGUCAACAUUUAUACAAAUAUGGAAGAUGGGCUCCAAAUUGAACUUUUACAUACAGAACUCAUUAACAUAAAUCACAUUAACAAACCAAACUGCCCUCCAUGUCCUGAAAGAGGUUUACACAAAUACAUUUGAAUCACAGCUAGUAUUUGUUCCCCCUCCCCCCAUAUGAAUUGUACAGGAAUAAUUUUAUUUUCAUCAUUUUUUCAAUUUUCCAUCUUCUUUCACUUUCCACAGCAUCAGCUCCAUACAGGCAGUAGCAUCUUCUGCAGUGUCAUGACCACAAACUAAGGGGG
Oreochromis niloticus (Nile tilapia) is the source of this 4052-nucleotide long non-coding RNA. RefSeq lists it as uncharacterized. The record is from RefSeq and is a predicted model, not a curated record. Lineage: Eukaryota; Metazoa; Chordata; Actinopteri; Cichliformes; Cichlidae. The transcript has 12 exons.